AUGCUCCCUUCGGCUGUGUACAUAUUAAAAUUGAAGUGGCACAAAUGAGAUGUAGCAUGGCCCCUGCACAAGGAAGACAGAGAUAUUCAUGAAGUGUUCCAUAUUUUG
Small nuclear RNA from Meriones unguiculatus (Mongolian gerbil), 108 nucleotides. NCBI's taxonomy places the organism in Eukaryota, Metazoa, Chordata, Mammalia, Rodentia, Muridae. The record is from Ensembl.